AUUGAACGCUGGCGGAAUGCUUUACACAUGCAAGUCGAGCGGCAGCGCGGGGGCGAACCCUGGCGGCGAGCGGCGAACGGGUGAGUAAUACAUCGGAACGUGUCCUUGAGUGGGGGAUAGCUCGGCGAAAGCCGGAUUAAUACCGCAUAAGCUCUGAGGAGGAAAGCGGGGGAUUCGCAAGAACCUCGCGCUGUUGGAGCGGCCGAUGUCGGAUUAGCUAGUUGGGGGGUAAAGGCCACCAAGGCGACGAUCCGUAGCUGGUCUGAGAGGAUGAUUAGCCACACUGGAACUGAGACACGGUCCAGACUCCUACGGGAGGCAGCAGUGGGGAAUAUUGGGCAAUGGGCGCAAGCCUGACCCAGCGACGCCGCGUGGGUGAUGAAGGCCUUCGGGCCGUAAAGCCUGUCGGGUGGAAAGAACGGGAGGGGUGCAAAUAGCGCUUCUCCGUGACGGUACCACCGAAGGAAG
Molecule: ribosomal RNA, 468 nt
Filed under: uncultured bacterium
Lineage: Bacteria
Description: bacterial SSU rRNA
Rfam family: Bacterial small subunit ribosomal RNA
Source: RNAcentral